AAAAUGUUAGUAAACUCAUUACACCACCUUGUCAUGGCGGAAUAACAAGUGGAACCCUUGUACAUUUUA
Molecule: transfer RNA, 69 nt
Filed under: Caecilia gracilis (graceful caecilian)
Lineage: Eukaryota; Metazoa; Chordata; Amphibia; Gymnophiona; Caeciliidae
Description: tRNA-Asp
Source: RNAcentral